UUUCAUUGUGUAUCAAGCAAGUUUAUCGGCACCAUUUUCCCAGUAACAUUUGUUCACUUCGUAUCUCUGUGUCACGUUUUGGUAAUUCUCCCAAUAUUUCAAACUUUUUCACUAUUAUUAAAUUUGUUAUGGUGAU
Molecule: long non-coding RNA, 136 nt
Organism: Balaenoptera musculus (blue whale)
Lineage: Eukaryota; Metazoa; Chordata; Mammalia; Artiodactyla; Balaenopteridae
Exons: 3
Source: RefSeq, a predicted model, not a curated record